Hirundo rustica (Barn swallow) is the source of this 1838-nucleotide long non-coding RNA. RefSeq lists it as uncharacterized. Lineage: Eukaryota; Metazoa; Chordata; Aves; Passeriformes; Hirundinidae. The record is from RefSeq and is a predicted model, not a curated record. The transcript has 6 exons.
GGAGGAACUCUGAGGAAGAGGGAGUGUAAGACUCCUGAAGAAGAAGGAUCCUGGGGAGAAUCACUGCUGUGAGGUCAGUCCUGGGUCUGCAGUUAGACUCUGUUGCUGGAACCUGCAAUCACAAUCUAGCUAGUUUCAUUAUCCUGAGGCUGAAAGAAAGAUUAAGGAUAUCUCUGGCUCCUAGGGCUCUAACAAAGGCUCUGGCCUUGUUUGCCAGGAAGGAGGAAUACAGCCUUUUCUUCCAGAUCUUCCUAUCCAUCUAUAUGCAGCGGUGUAAUUGCUGGAACAAAAUACGGGAUUCCUGUGGGUCACGAUAUUUUCAAGAUCAGCCCCCAAGUGAAUCACAGCCACUGAAUGUUGUAGGCAAUGACUAAGCGAAAAUCUCACAUAAGGCUGUGUCCAUGCUAGAAAUUAUGACCCCAAAAGAAGUGCAUUUGGCAAGAGUUGUGAAGCUCUCAGAGUGAGAUUUCUUGGAGGCAAGUGUAUUUCACACACACGGCAGCAUUUAAAGAAGCCACUAAAAUAUUCAUCAGACCUAUUCUUGAAUUCUGUGAUUGGAAUUUGGAGUGAAACAAAUUAAGGAAAUCAUAAAGGAGCUUACCAAUCAACACUAAAUUGACAAGGCUUCAGCAGAACUCCGGUUGGAAAAGGAUUUGCUCAACAGCCUUCUAUUCAAAACCAUGACAGCAGCCUAAGAAGACAUGGAAGUCUCCUUUGAUCAGCAACAACGCGGCAGCAGAGGUUUUCUCCACGCAAAGGUUUUCCCUCUGAUCUGCAGCUGGGCUGGCAUGUCAGAGGGUGCUGGUUUUCGGCUGCACUUUGCAUCAGACCCUGCUGGGUCCUGGCUGCUCCCUGCUUGCCUUCUGCCGGCUGAACCACUGCCAGCGCCGACCCCGAGGCACUGCAGACCAGCGCUGUGGAGGCAGCUGGAAGCAAGAAACCUCCUUGUUUUGUUCCUUUCCUCUUGAGUCAUUCAAUUGCAGUAUGCUCCAAACUGCAAGUUGCUUUUAUCUGCAGGCCUCCCACGUUACUCGAUGUUGAACAGGCAAUUGCAAUCCAGCCCCUGUUAUUUUGUCUCAGUAACACCUUGUGUACACCAGGGAAGUAGGAUGUGUGAGAGACGAGGCGUUAACUGCCUCUUCUUGAAUCCACGUUGGAGAAGUUAUUUGUCAUUUUAAUAUAUUGAAAGGAGGUAAAAAUCUGCAAGUUCACCAAAACUUUCAAAUUAAAAAAUGGUUCCUCACCCUAAUGUAGCUAUGAUAUGGCUUUCAAAACAAACCAUGAAGACUGUCGGUACAUUUAUCAUUGGGAAAGGCUCUGAUUUGUUGGGUCUUCUCAGUUUGUUUGCCUUAAAAUGCAGAAAUUUCAGCUGGGAAUUCAUUAGGACAGCAGAGAUCCCAAAUGCAGGGAUGUCUACCUUACUUUCCCUGAGUUGCAUUGCAGCUGGGCAAGAAAAUUUUGCCUCAGCAACUAUUUUCCAGAUGAGCUUAACAUAGCAAACAGAUGUGAUGGCGAAUUUAAAAAGCUUUGUGAAUAUAGCAUAAUCUGACUGAAUGAGUUCAUGUGCUCCUCACUACCAUACAUCUCACCACCAGCACCACCAAGCAAGGAGCAGGUUGGAAGAAAGCAGAAAGAAAUUCUUUCCAGAGGCAACAUAUCUGCCACUUUCUUUGUGAGAGAAGGUUCACGGCUCCAUUUCAAAUCACAUGAAACAAACACCGUUCAGAUUCAUGUUGAGAAACACAGAAAGAAUAAAAACCUUGUAUGCAAGGUGACAGAACAUUCACCCAGGGAAGCAGAGAGAAUGCCUGUGUAUGUGCACCCUCACUUAUGUACAG